GACGAACGCUGGCGGCGUGCCUAAUACAUGCAAGUUGAGCGCUGAAGGUUGGUACUUGUACCGACUGGAUGAGCAGCGAACGGGUGAGUAACGCGUGGGGAAUCUGCCUUUGAGCGGGGGACAACAUUUGGAAACGAAUGCUAAUACCGCAUAAAAACUUUAAACACAAGUUUUAAGUUUGAAAGAUGCAAUUGCAUCACUCAAAGAUGAUCCCGCGUUGUAUUAGCUAGUUGGUGAGGUAAAGGCUCACCAAGGCGAUGAUACAUAGCCGACCUGAGAGGGUGAUCGGCCACAUUGGGACUGAGACACGGCCCAAACUCUUACGGGAGGCAGCAGUAGGGAAUCUUCGGCAAUGGACGAAAGUCUGACCGAGCAACGCCGCGUGAGUGAAGAAGGUUUUCGGAUCGUAAAACUCUGUUGGUAGAGAAGAACGUUGGUGAGAGUGGAAAGCUCAUCAAGUGACGGUAACUACCCAGAAAGGGACGGCUAACUACGUG
This 497-nucleotide ribosomal RNA is filed under the name uncultured bacterium. RNAcentral's name for it is "partial 16S ribosomal RNA". It matches the Rfam family "Bacterial small subunit ribosomal RNA", at positions 28 to 507 of the family's 1533-position model. The record is from RNAcentral.